Molecule: long non-coding RNA, 289 nt
Filed under: Nicotiana benthamiana
Lineage: Eukaryota; Viridiplantae; Streptophyta; Magnoliopsida; Solanales; Solanaceae
Description: long non-coding RNA (NBEN_LNC009248)
Source: RNAcentral
CUCAGUUCAAAAAAAUGUUUUGUGUCCAGGGAUGUUGUAUUUCAUGAGACUUCAUUUCCUUUUAGAACUGCCUCUACACCUUCCAUUUCUUCAUCUUCUUUUCCUUUUGUUUCUUCUCCUGAGCAGUCAUUUUCUGACACUGACCUGUCUAUUCAUGUUUCUACCUUUCUUUCUUCUCCUUAUGCUACUCCUUCUUCCUCUCCUAGUCCAUUACUUCCUCUGUUCCUCCAUCACUGCCUCCUCCUCCCACCCUUCCUGCUUCCAGCCCUCCUUUUAAUCAUGAUAUUCC